Molecule: long non-coding RNA, 1723 nt
Organism: Cygnus olor (mute swan)
Lineage: Eukaryota; Metazoa; Chordata; Aves; Anseriformes; Anatidae
Exons: 2
Source: RefSeq, a predicted model, not a curated record
CAGCGCCACGGCGUGCGGGCCGGGCCCCAGCACCUCCCGCCGCCACCCCGGGCCCCUCCGCGCCGUCAUGGCGGCCGCCGCCUCUGCCGUUGCCAUGGCGAAGCGGAAGUGACCUCACGACGCAAGGGACGCUCAGAGCGGGCGGGAGCCCGGCCGGGCGGAGGGGGGCCGCGCAUGCGCAGUGCGCCCGCGCCGCCUGAGAGGGCACAAAAUGGCGGCCGGGGGUGGGGGUGUUGUCAUGUCGUCACGUCGCGAUGUCGCCUGUCGCCACAACGCGUCGCGGGUUGGGGUUGCUCGGCGAGAAUGCGGCUCCCUGCGCCCUCCCGCGGCUCCUGAGAGGGGUUGGGGCUGGUGCGCGGCUCCCAGCAGCGCCUCAGGAGCUGCGGUUGCUUCAGGUCCAUCGGGUACCUUUAUUCAUUUUCCUGAAGGGAUUUGCUGAUCGCUCACAUUCACAUGAUCGUCUGAGUCAGAGACAGGAGACGCAACCACGCUGAGCGCGAGCAGCAGAGAUCAGAACUUUUACUAGCACGUGUUUUCAGGCAUGAGCUCAAAAUCGAGCCUUUCCUUCACUCGUGUCCCAAACUACCAAACUUUGAAGUUUUGCUGGUAAUAAGUCCUGUAGCCUAAGAGUUCCGCAGAUGUUCAAUCGUGCGGCUCUAAGUUAGCUCUCAUCGUUCUACAGGGUUAUCUUUACUAAAACACUUGUUUCUUUCACAGAUCUGCCUCCCCUUGGAAUCAUAUGGAAGGAGGAUGGAAGCUAGGACAGGUUUAGGUUCUAACACUCCUGACACUGGUGCCAUGAGACAAAAUUCUUUACCCCUGACCCCCACAUCAGAAGGUUGUGGCAAAGAUCAGCUGCUGUUCCUCUCCUUUCUGUCUCUCAAGCUUUAAAGAGCAAAGAGUAACCACAGAAAGGGAACGCAGCACGAAAGAGGGGUGAAUGAUCCCAGCAUGAAAUGAUUAGCACAGACAUGUACAGUUUAUUUUAGGGCUGCCCCAGGAGGUCAUUUACAAAUUUCAGUGGAUCUGGCCAUAAAACUGCAGCCAGUUCUGAAAAACUCCACGUCGGAACAAUUUCCCUACUGUAAAAAGGAGAAAAUGUGAUUUUUUGUUGCUGAAAAAAAUACUAUUCUUUUUUUAGUACUGGGACAAGACUUGAGCCUUUAACCCAGCCGGAAUAUUUAAAGAGGAACUGAAAAUAAAUUUGAAUUUUGAGACUUUUUGCUAAUUCAAUGAUCAUUCAAAGGUUCCUUCAGUGUAGCUAAAAAGCUCUCUCUACAUUUUCCUUCUCGAUAUUUCUACAUUUUCCAGGGAUUGAGUUUUUUAAACGGUUUUGAGAAAUAAGAUCACGCGGUGGUGGAGGUGCUUUUGCGUCAUCCUCACAUGCCAAUCGCAGGAAGCUGCCCCCAGCCGCCCACGUUGCGACGGGCAGUGUGACUUUUGCACCGCCGGUCACCAAAAUGUCAGUGGUAAUCUGGCGGCUGGCACGAGGAGAAGCGCUGAUGAAAGGUUAGAUCCAAGUGGAGAAUGAGGAAAGGGCAGGUUCCACAGAGAUUAUUUAAGUUCAUGCUUUUCCUGUGAAGUUUGAUGGGCUUUGUCCUAGAUGACUUCAAAACUGUUGCCAGUGGUGGCAGGGCUGUCUGUUGAGGGCUUUCGGGAGGGAGAUUGGACAGAAAAGGGGCAGACAGGAUCCAUUUGAAGAAAAAGAAAAAAAAGGAAAGGA